UGGGGAAUAUUGCACAAUGGGCGCAAGCCUGAUGCAGCCAUGCCGCGUGUGUGAAGAAGGCCUUCGGGUUGUAAAGCACUUUCAGCGAGGAGGAAGGUGGUGAGCUUAAUACGCUCAUCAAUUGACGUUACUCGCAGAAGAAGCACCGGCUAACUCCGUGCCAGCAGCCGCGGUAAUACGGAGGGUGCAAGCGUUAAUCGGAAUUACUGGGCGUAAAGCGCACGCAGGCGGUUUGUUAAGUCAGAUGUGAAAUCCCCGGGCUCAACCUGGGAACUGCAUUUGAAACUGGCAAGCUAGAGUCUCGUAGAGGGGGGUAGAAUUCCAGGUGUAGCGGUGAAAUGCGUAGAGAUCUGGGGAAUACCGGUGGCGAAGGCGGCCCCCUGGACGAAGACUGACGCUCAGGUGCGAAAGCGUGGGGCAGCAAACAGGAUUAGAUACCCUGGUAGUCCACGCUGUAAACGAUGUCGAUUUGGAGGUUGUGCCCUUGAGGCGUGGCUUCCGGAGCUAACGCGUUAAAUCGACCGCCUGGGGAGUACGGCCGCAAGGUUAAAACUUAAAUGAAUUGACGGGGUC
This 573-nucleotide ribosomal RNA is filed under the name uncultured bacterium. RNAcentral's name for it is "partial 16S ribosomal RNA". It matches the Rfam family "Bacterial small subunit ribosomal RNA", at positions 355 to 920 of the family's 1533-position model. The record is from RNAcentral.